AAAAGGACUUUUCCAAGGCUUGUAAUGAGGUUGGGCUAACAAAAAAAAUUGGUUUUUCUGGAAUGCAAAAUCCUUGAGUUAAGAGAGCUACCAUAGUGUCCAACAUUUAAGCACAACUCUCUUCAUCACCAAUCUCUCUUAUUCCCAACUUUUUCCCUUUUCUUUUGCAUUAAGCCCAUCUUCAUGCUUUUUCUUCUUUUCUUUUCUUUUUCUCAUGUAUUUUUCUUUCACAACAUUUGAGCUCAAUGCUUUUUCAAUUGCCUUUCAGUUUCCCCCAUGUAACCCCAAACUUGAACCUUUUCAUCACAUACAAUUAAGCUCACCCC
RNAcentral lists this long non-coding RNA (326 nucleotides) under Vigna radiata. Its description in RNAcentral is "long non-coding RNA (VRAD_LNC012878)". The record is from RNAcentral. Lineage: Eukaryota; Viridiplantae; Streptophyta; Magnoliopsida; Fabales; Fabaceae.